AUCACUUCUCGGCCUUUUGGCUAAGAUCAAGUGUAGUUUCUGUUCUUAUCAGUUUAAUAUGAUAUAUAUAUAUAUAUAUAUAUAUAUAUAUAUUCAGCAAUA
This 102-nucleotide small nuclear RNA is filed under the name Erinaceus europaeus (western European hedgehog). RNAcentral's name for it is "U2 spliceosomal RNA". It matches the Rfam family "U2 spliceosomal RNA". From Rfam's summary of the family: U2 is a small nuclear RNA (snRNA) component of the spliceosome (involved in pre-mRNA splicing). Complementary binding between U2 snRNA (in an area lying towards the 5' end but 3' to hairpin I) and the branchpoint sequence (BPS) of the intron results the bulging out of an unpaired adenosine, on the BPS, which initiates a nucleophilic attack at the intronic 5' splice site, thus starting the first of two transesterification reactions that mediate splicing. The record is from Rfam by way of RNAcentral. Lineage: Eukaryota; Metazoa; Chordata; Mammalia; Eulipotyphla; Erinaceidae.